RNAcentral lists this ribosomal RNA (408 nucleotides) under uncultured bacterium. Its description in RNAcentral is "partial 16S ribosomal RNA". It matches the Rfam family "Bacterial small subunit ribosomal RNA", at positions 28 to 526 of the family's 1533-position model. The record is from RNAcentral.
GACGAACGCUGGCGGCGUGCUUAACACAUGCAAGUCGAACGAAGUGGCGAACGGGUGAGUAAUACGUGGGUAACCUGCCCUCCUUUUUGGGAUAAGCCUUGGAAACGGGGUCUAAUACCGAAUAAAGGGGGAUGGGCUCGCGGCCUAUCAGCUUGUUGGUGGGGUGAUGGCCUACCAAGGCGGUGACGGGUAGCCGGCCUGAGAGGGUGACCGGCCACAUUGGGACUGAGAUACGGCCCAGACUCCUACGGGAGGCAGCAGUGGGGGAUAUUGCACAAUGGGCGAAAGCCUGAUGCAGCGACGCCGCGUGGGGGAUGAAGGCUUUCGGGUUGUAAAGGACUUUUGUUAGGAAAACGGUACCUAAAGAAUAAGCACCGGCUAACUACGUGCCAGCAGCCGCGGUAAUUC